GAUGAAGAACGCAGCGAAAUGCGAUAAGUAGUGUGAAUUGCAGAAUUCAGUGAAUCAUCGAAUCUUUGAACGCACAUUGCGCCCUAUAGUAUUCUGUAGGGCAUGCAUGUUCGAGCGUCAUUUGUACCUUCAAGCUUUGCUUGGUGUUGGGUGUUUGUCCUCUCCCUGGUGUUUGGACUCGCCUUAAAACAAUUGGCAGCCAGUGUUUUGGUAUUGAAGCGCAGCACAAUUUGCGAUUCUGGCCUUAAAAUACUAGCGUCCAUAAGUUCAUUCUCACUUUUGACCUCGGAUCAUGUAGGGAUACCCGCUGAACUUAAGCAUAUCAAUAAGCGGAGGA
This 337-nucleotide unclassified non-coding RNA is filed under the name soil metagenome. RNAcentral describes it as "partial contains 5.8S ribosomal RNA, internal transcribed spacer 2, and large subunit ribosomal RNA". The stretch from base 1 to 120 matches the Rfam family "5.8S ribosomal RNA", at positions 35 to 154 of the family's 154-position model. The record is from RNAcentral.